GAUGAACGCUAGCGGCAGGCCUAAUACAUGCAAGUCGAGGGGCAGCGCGGUAGCAAUACUGGCGGCGACCGGCGCACGGGUGCGUAACACGUAUGCAACCUACCUUCAACUGGAGGAUAGCCCGGGGAAACUCGGAUUAAUACUCCAUAACACAGGGAUCCCGCAUGGGAAUAUUGUUAAAGCUACGGCGGUUGAAGAUGGGCAUGCGUUCGAUUAGCUAGUUGGUGUAGGUAACGGCUCACCAAGGCUACGAUCGAUAGGGGGUCUGAGAGGAUGAUCCCCCACACUGGUACUGAGAUACGGACCAGACUCCUACGGGAGGCAGCAGUAGGGAAUAUUGGUCAAUGGGCGCAAGCCUGAACCAGCCAUGCCGCGUGCAGGAAGAAGGGCCCCUCUGGGGUUGUAAACUGCUUUUGAUAGGGACAAAUGCCACUUGCGAGUGGAGCUGAGUGUACCUAUAGAAUAAGCACCGGCUAACUCCGUGCCAGCAGCCGACGG
RNAcentral lists this ribosomal RNA (498 nucleotides) under uncultured bacterium. RNAcentral describes it as "bacterial SSU rRNA". It matches the Rfam family "Bacterial small subunit ribosomal RNA", at positions 28 to 520 of the family's 1533-position model. The record is from RNAcentral.